GAAAGACUUAUUUGAUGACUCAGAUUAUAUUAAUAUACUCCAUUUGUGUGUAUGUGCGUGUGUGUGUGUGUGUGUGUUGGUGAGGCAAAGAAACAUUAAUAAAACUAAGCACUUUCAUGUAUAUUAAAUUUUGAGAGGAAAUGAAGAGAUGGAUAGGAAGCUCUCUCUCUCCUUCUUCUUUCCUCCUUCUCCUCUCUCUCAUUCUUUCCUUCUUUUCUCUCUCUCUCUAUUUCGUCUUCCUCCUCUUUCUCAAUUUCUCUAUUUUUCUCCUCCAUUCCUUUCCUUUCCUUCCUCUCUUCCUUUUUUCUUUCACUCCCUUCUCUUACUCUAUUUCUCCUUCUAUGAUAUCUUCCUUUCUUUAUCUCUCUCUCUGGUCUGAAUAUGUAAAUCUUUAUCUCUCUCUCUGGUCUGAAUAUGUAAAUCUUUAUCUCUCUCUCUGGUCUGAAUAUGUAAAUCUUUAUCUCUCUCUCUGGUCUGAAUAUGUAAAUCUUUAUCUCUCUCUCUGGUCUGAAUAUGUAAAUCUUUCUCUCUCCUCUCUGGUCUGAAUAUGUAAAUCUUUCUCUCUCUCUCUCUCUCUCUCUCUCUCUCUCUCUAGUCUGAAUAUGUAAAUCUCUCUCUCUCUGGUCUGAAUAUGUAAAUCUUUAUCUCUCUCUCUGGUCUGAAUAUGUAAAUCUUUAUCUCUCUCUCUGGUCUGAAUAUGUAAAUCUUUCUCUCUCCUCUCUGGUCUGAAUAUGUAAAUCUCUCUCUCUCUCUCUCUCUCUCUCUCUCUCUCUCUCUCUCUCUCUCUCUAGAUGCAACACAUGAAAUACCUUAGUUUUGCAUAUGCUUCAGUGCUUCCUAAACAGUCACCAACAAGUCAAGUACAUGUGUCUAUAUAUAUAUAUAUUUCUUACAUAUUCAACAACAUACAUAUAAAGGCUUACUAAGAUAUAACAAACACUACCACUGAUGUGAGAAAAUAAAUGAAAAAUCACAGAGCUUGGAAUUAAAACUACGAGGCUUAGGACUUAGGUGGAAGAUAAUGUUAAAUGAUUACAACACAAGAGUACAUAAUAAUCAUAAACAUAACCCAAUACAGUUCCCACACUACAUCAGAACUGCCAUUGACUACAACACAGGAGUACAUAAUUAUAAAUGUGUGUAUGUGUGUGUGUGUGUGUGUGUGUUUACCUAGUUGCAGUAUACAGGGACUUAGCUAUACUCAGUUGGUCCUGUCUUCAAAUUUAUAUAUAAUUCCAGUUGUGUGUGUGUGUGUGUGUGUGUGUCCUGUCUUCAAAUCUAUAUAUAAUACCAGUUGUGUGUUUGUGUGUGUGUGUGUGUGUGUGUGUGUGUGUGUGUUUUCACAA
Eriocheir sinensis (Chinese mitten crab) is the source of this 1346-nucleotide long non-coding RNA. RefSeq lists it as uncharacterized. The record is from RefSeq and is a predicted model, not a curated record. The transcript is spliced from 2 exons. Lineage: Eukaryota; Metazoa; Arthropoda; Malacostraca; Decapoda; Varunidae.